UAAUUUCCUCUGCCUCACAAAGA
Molecule: small nuclear RNA, 23 nt
Filed under: Arabidopsis thaliana (thale cress)
Lineage: Eukaryota; Viridiplantae; Streptophyta; Magnoliopsida; Brassicales; Brassicaceae
Description: snRNA_06984
Source: RNAcentral